Non-coding RNA from Gammaproteobacteria bacterium, 75 nucleotides. Lineage: Bacteria; Pseudomonadati; Pseudomonadota; Gammaproteobacteria. The record is from Rfam.
GGAAGCGGUGUGAAGCGAGAGGUUCCCGCACCGUUUUGCGAGAGGCUGGAACUGAGAUGCUCUGGCCUACUCACC